Molecule: ribosomal RNA, 520 nt
Filed under: Enterobacter sp.
Lineage: Bacteria; Pseudomonadati; Pseudomonadota; Gammaproteobacteria; Enterobacterales; Enterobacteriaceae
Description: bacterial SSU rRNA
Rfam family: Bacterial small subunit ribosomal RNA
Source: RNAcentral
AGCGGCGGACGGGUGAGUAAUGUCUGGGAAACUGCCUGAUGGAGGGGGAUAACUACUGGAAACGGUAGCUAAUACCGCAUAACGUCGCAAGACCAAAGAGGGGGACCUUCGGGCCUCUUGCCAUCAGAUGUGCCCAGAUGGGAUUAGCUAGUAGGUGGGGUAACGGCUCACCUAGGCGACGAUCCCUAGCUGGUCUGAGAGGAUGACCAGCCACACUGGAACUGAGACACGGUCCAGACUCCUACGGGAGGCAGCAGUGGGGAAUAUUGCACAGUGGGCGCAAGCCUGAUGCAGCCAUGCCGCGUGUAUGAAGAAGGCCUUCGGGUUGUAAAGUACUUUCAGCGGGGAGGAAGGUGUUGAGGUUAAUAACCUCAGCUAUUGACGUUACCCGCAGAAGAAGCACCGGCUAACUCCGUGCCAGCAGCCGCGGUAAUACGGAGGGUGCAAGCGUUAAUCGGAAUUACUGGGCGUAAAGCGCACGCAGGCGGUCUGUCAAGUCAGAUGUGAAAUCCCCGGGCUC